UGCGGAAUAGAGCAGUUCGGUAGCUCGUCAGGUUCAUGACUUGAAGGUCAUAGGUUCAAAUCCUAUUUCCGCAA
RNAcentral lists this transfer RNA (74 nucleotides) under Telonemida sp. RNAcentral describes it as "tRNA-Met". It matches the Rfam family "tRNA". Rfam says of the family: Transfer RNA (tRNA) molecules are approximately 80 nucleotides in length. Their secondary structure includes four short double-helical elements and three loops (D, anti-codon, and T loops). Further hydrogen bonds mediate the characteristic L-shaped molecular structure. tRNAs have two regions of fundamental functional importance: the anti-codon, which is responsible for specific mRNA codon recognition, and the 3' end, to which the tRNAs corresponding amino acid is attached (by aminoacyl-tRNA synthetases). tRNAs cope with the degeneracy of the genetic code in two manners: having more than one tRNA (with a specific anti-codon) for a particular amino acid; and 'wobble' base-pairing, i.e. permitting non-standard base-pairing at the 3rd anti-codon position. Lineage: Eukaryota; Telonemia; Telonemida. The record is from RNAcentral.